This 815-nucleotide long non-coding RNA is filed under the name Dromaius novaehollandiae (emu). Its description in RNAcentral is "lncRNA (ENSDNVG00000014953.1)". Lineage: Eukaryota; Metazoa; Chordata; Aves; Casuariiformes; Dromaiidae. The record is from RNAcentral.
UUUUUUUUUUUUUUUUUUUUUUUUUUGUUAUAAGGGGCGUGCUUCUUAAAGGUUUCUAAUCUGUGGACUGAGCCUUGAUCAAACAUUUAUGAAACAGUAUCACCUUUCAAAUACUAUUGAAUUGAGCCCUCAACACCACUUAAAGACUGAAGAGAAAUUUCACAUGCAUUUACAAGUAUGAAAACAGGAUGAACUGAUUUAACCUAGGCCCUCCCAGAAGGGGGAGGUGAACAAAGGAAAAAGGAUCUUAAGAUCUUUUCAUUCUUGUUCUUAUGCCUUAACCAUACCAAAGGCUGCUUUUUUUUUUUUUUUUUUUUUUUUUUUUUUGAGGUGGGGAGAGAGAGAGAGAACUGUGUCUCAACUUCUGAAUCUCUGGAUUACUCAAGAAAUCCAGUCCAGUUUGGAUAAGGGCUGAGGAAAAAAAACACGUACUCACACUUUGAAGAGGCUKGAAACAGAUUGCUUAGAAAAAAUACAAAAGAAUCCCAUGCUUCCCCACUACCUCAAGAGUGGAGACUGCUACCUAAUCUGCUGAGUCCAAACCAUCAGCUAGUAUGAUAUGUGAGAAAAUUAUGGAAAGUGCCUCUGCUGGUGGAUCUCACAAAAGGCAAACAACCCUGUUUAUCUCAAAGAACAUGGAAAGAUAAGAAAACAAGACAGCUGAAGUGAUUUCAUUUCAAGAUUUUGUCAUGGAAGCAGAGUCUUCCGGAACACGUUUGUGCUGCUUCCCAGAGUCUUGCUGGGGUCCUACCAAGGGAACUGGCUUUUCAAGUCAGAAAAGGUGUACAGCAAAUCCCCUUGAGCUUCCAUAAAGU